RNAcentral lists this ribosomal RNA (1026 nucleotides) under Triticum aestivum (bread wheat). RNAcentral's name for it is "partial small subunit ribosomal RNA". Lineage: Eukaryota; Viridiplantae; Streptophyta; Magnoliopsida; Poales; Poaceae. The record is from RNAcentral.
AUGGGGUCGUCGUUUAAGUCGGAGUGGGGGCCGGCGAUCUGCAUGGUGCUCAUCGAGCUGUUCACCACGGGGCAGCUGCUGCUCACCAAGGUGGUGGUCGACGCUGGCCUCAUGGUCUUCGCCCUCCUCACCUACCGCUUCUUCCUCGGUGCCGCCCUCGUUGUCCCUCUCGCCCUCAUCCUUGAGCCAGGGAGGUUGAAGGAGCUUACACUGAAGGCGUUCAUAUGGAUUUUCACCAGUGCACUUGUGGGAUUCACAAUUCCUGGUUUCGCCUACAUUGGCCUCGGAGACACAUCGCCAGGAUACGCAGAGCCACUAGACAUGAGGAGCCUGGUGGGGAACAUCAAGGUCGUCGGAACCCUAGUCUGCGUUGGAGGAACGCUGGUGAUCAGCCUGUACAAGGGCAAGGUGCUGCACCUUUGGCCCACAAAUAUCAUCGGCUACCACCCAAAGCAAGCCGGAGCUGCUUUUGGUCACCACCAUGUGCGUGGAACCAUCUUGCUCAUCACCAGCAGCCUCAGCCUCGCCGUCUGGUACACAGUACAGGCUCAGAUGCUAAAAGUGUUCCCAUACAAGUACUGGUCCACUGUCGCUACAUGCUUCGUGGGGAGCAUCCAAACGGCUGUCGUGGGGGUUGCCAUGAACAGAGAGAAGGCAACAUGGGCGCUCAAAUGGAACAUGAGCUUGCUCACCAUUGUGUACUCGGCAAUACUCAACACUGCUGCCAAAUUUGUGAUGAUUUCAUGGGUCGUCAUGCAGCAUGGGCCAACCUAUCCGGCCAUGUUUUGUGCCGUGACGGUGUUCUUCACUACUAUUCUCGACUCGUUGCUUCUCGGCAAUGAUAUGUCCGUUGGGAGUGUUCUAGGCAUGUUCAUGAUUCUAGCUGGGCUCUAUCUUUUCCUUUCGGGAAAGAGAAAAGAAUCGUCCUCAAGUAUUGACCCUGCAUUAUUGUAUCUCUCCACUUCCUCCUGCCUUUUCCUCCUGUCUGAAAGGAUCGAGGUGGAUCUGCGAGGGGCCAGGGCGUGA